This 253-nucleotide ribosomal RNA is filed under the name Enterocloster bolteae. RNAcentral's name for it is "partial 16S ribosomal RNA". It matches the Rfam family "Bacterial small subunit ribosomal RNA", at positions 524 to 776 of the family's 1533-position model. The record is from RNAcentral. Lineage: Bacteria; Bacillati; Bacillota; Clostridia; Lachnospirales; Lachnospiraceae.
UACGUAGGGGGCAAGCGUUAUCCGGAUUUACUGGGUGUAAAGGGAGCGUAGACGGCGAAGCAAGUCUGAAGUGAAAACCCGGGGCUCAACCCUGGGACUGCUUUGGAAACUGUUUUGCUAGAGUGUCGGAGAGGUAAGUGGAAUUCCUAGUGUAGCGGUGAAAUGCGUAGAUAUUAGGAGGAACACCAGUGGCGAAGGCGGCUUACUGGACGAUAACUGACGUUGAGGCUCGAAAGCGUGGGGAGCAAACAGG